Bubalus bubalis (water buffalo) is the source of this 922-nucleotide long non-coding RNA. RefSeq lists it as uncharacterized. The record is from RefSeq and is a predicted model, not a curated record. The transcript has 2 exons. Lineage: Eukaryota; Metazoa; Chordata; Mammalia; Artiodactyla; Bovidae.
UAAUGUAUCUUGCAUAUUCAUGAUCCUGGCACACUCACGGUCUCGAGGAAGCUAAUUUUUUUGUCUUUUCCAAUUUGUGCUUCCACUAGGCGGUUUACCAGUACCCCGGGCGUUUACAUUUACCGUCAGCAGGAAGGCAGCCGGCCAGAGGAAGGAUGGGUCAGUAUGUUCCUGUCCUUGGGUUCCACACAAACAGUACUUUAAAAGUAAAUAAUGAGCUUUAACAAAUGAACUUAGAGGGUAAUUUCCACCCUCUCUCAUCUCUGCUCUGAUGCUGCAGAGGUUUGCUGUGUGUUCUGCAUAUCUGGACAUGUUCAUAUACUAUCUGCCUGGACUCUUGUGUUUUCAACUUGUUUGGAAAAGGAGACCUGUGAAAGGAAACCUCUUUCUGAGUUCUUUUUGUACCCCCAGAUUUACUUUCCAGGCCCUCUCUGCUGCAACAUUUAAAACGAUUUAAUGAAAACUUGCUGAAAAUGUUUUGAAAUAUGGAAGCUUCAAGGACAUUCUUUAAAAGGGUAUCUGCCAAACUGGCCUAUAUACUGGCUUUUGUUGCUUUUCUGAACUGAGUGGGAAUGUGAGUCCCUGAAGAGAGGUCCCAAAGAGGGGGUGCUCCCCCAGCCCAUGGAGGAAGAAGGAAGGGGCAGCCUGAGUGCAGGUCCUGGGCAGAGACAAGAGGACAGGUCAUGGGUCUCCUGGAGGCCUUCUCCUUGUUGAUACCCCAGUGAUGCAUCAGCUUGAACUGUUGUUACUCAGUCACGGAUUCCUGCAGAAAGGGAGGUGUGGGACCCAAACUUGACCGUGUGGCCACAGUCAUGGCUUAGGAAUUCAACCAACUCCAUCUAACCACCAACCUGUGGUCAGACAAAUUAAAUCCAUGGAUUAGCCAAAAGGCUUCUGAAUAAAAGUUUUAGGUUGACCAUUU